Betta splendens (Siamese fighting fish) is the source of this 1104-nucleotide long non-coding RNA. RefSeq lists it as uncharacterized. The transcript is spliced from 5 exons. The record is from RefSeq and is a predicted model, not a curated record. Lineage: Eukaryota; Metazoa; Chordata; Actinopteri; Anabantiformes; Osphronemidae.
ACCAGAAAUUAUGCAGUCGAGAUUCCCACAUUUGGGAAGAUCGUAGAACCUGUUUCUACGGUAGUGCAAAGUCUACAGUCUACAGUGUGGACUGUAGACGGUUACGCCGCGUGAUUGGUCUGGGUCUACGAUGGCCGGAACCAAUCGCGCUUCAAUGUUACGUUCUACAGGUCACCGUAGACAGUUACGCUGUCCGAUUCGUCGGGGCUGAGUCGACACGCGGACCCCCAACAACCAAUCACAGCGCUCGUUUCCAAAGGCCACAGGUAAAGAUGGCAACAAUCCGCGUUGUGAACCCAGGCGCCCCUGCACAUCGUCAGCAGGCUGUGCUGCUGUCGACUAAAGAGGCACGUCUUUACCGGGAGGAAAAAAAGGUCUUCCCAAAACCUCCCCUGGAGCUGCUGAACCCACUCACUGCACUGGACCAUGCAGAGACAAUCCUCCAAGCAGAGGGAGUCCCUGCACCGUCACGACAGCAGUGUCUGGGACGGCUGGUGUUGCUGUUCGGCCAGUACGGACACGCACCUUUCCACUGGCUUGUGGAGAACGACGUAGGCUAUAUGAAGUACUGAAGACAAGGACCUCCAGUUUCAGGCCCUCCUCAUGGCCAGAGGAUGAUGAUGAUGAUGAACUGGCAGCUGCAUCCCAGCCUGUGGAAGAUAGAAUAAAGUCCCAGAAGUCACAUUCCCGGGAUCCCCUGCCCUUGAAUUCGCCUUCAAAGACAUCCAAACAUGCCCCCCCCCCGGAUGAGAAGCGUCACUCAGCCUCACAGAACACGUCUGCUGCCUGGCUGGAUGAGCCAGAGUCUACUGUUCAGCCCACAGAGGCUCCAUCCACAUCCCAGGGUGGUGUUCCUCUUUUGCAGACACCUCUAAGUGACUUACCCGUGGAGUUAGACGGUUGGGUGCGCCUGUGGGAGAAACCUGAUGGCAUCCCAUCUGCUGACAUUCACUGGCUUAAGGAGGACACAACAAGAGGAAAGUUCACCGCUGUUCAUGUGUACAAAGACAACACUGGUGUGCUCAAGAGGAGACGGGUGAUGGCAUCUGACCGCAUGUGGUUCUACCCUCCAGAACCUCCGGCCUAUGUCGGAGGGGUUCUGCC